CGCGGGGUGGAGCAGUUCGGUAGCUCGCUGGGCUCAUAACCCAGAGGUCGCAGGUUCAAAUCCUGCCCCCGCUACUA
Molecule: transfer RNA, 77 nt
Filed under: Thermobifida fusca
Lineage: Bacteria; Bacillati; Actinomycetota; Actinomycetes; Streptosporangiales; Nocardiopsidaceae
Also listed under: 4 other names
Description: tRNA-Met
Rfam family: tRNA
About the family: Transfer RNA (tRNA) molecules are approximately 80 nucleotides in length. Their secondary structure includes four short double-helical elements and three loops (D, anti-codon, and T loops).
Source: RNAcentral